RNAcentral lists this long non-coding RNA (1402 nucleotides) under Anas platyrhynchos platyrhynchos (common mallard). RNAcentral describes it as "lncRNA (ENSAPLG00000019399.1)". The record is from RNAcentral. Lineage: Eukaryota; Metazoa; Chordata; Aves; Anseriformes; Anatidae.
AUGAAAAAUGAGUAUUCCAUGGAUGCAAGGAAAUGCCAUGACCCAGGACCAUGUCAUUGGACUGCUGAUAUCAUGUCAUACAACAGCCCUAUCCAAAAUUGUGAUGGCCAUGUCCUGCUGAGAUCUGCAACUUCAGCCAAGAGCUGGCUGCUGCCAACUGGACCAAGUGGAGUGCCCGUGGCCAGACCUGAGCACACUGCGUGGGCAUGCAGAACCAGUGAAGGUGCUGGGACCAGGCUGCUGAAGUGCCCCAGGCCUUCUCAACCCAGUGAAGCCGCAGGAUGUCCAUGGGGGUGCAAGGCCCUUCCUCAAGUACCAGAGGUCAGUCCAUGCUGCAGCUGUACACAUGGGGGCAUGGAAAUGAGGGGAAGUUGUGGGGAUAACACGGUGGCAUCUGGGUUUUGCUGGGGCUUAGAGGAGCCCCUGAGUGCCAGGAUGCUUCCGUGAAAUGUUGUUAGCCUCUGUUAGGUGCCACUGGUUUGGUACCCUCGUGAGGUCAGGCUCCCUGGGAGGCGGCCCAUACCUCUCCUGCCUGCGCAGCUCUGCUGGAAGUAUUUGUAGCUUCUACCUGAUUAUUUUAAGAACCUAUGCAAAUUUAUUAAUUUGUGCUAGGAAAAGCUUGCUGUGAUGUGUAAAUUAAGCCAUUUAAGUCAUCCUGCUUGGCAACUGAAGCACCUGUUUGCUCAAUGGGUUAACUGUUUGCUCAAUGGGUUAAUAGCCCACCAUACGCCAUGGAUGUGUAGUUGUGCUGAUGGUCUUUCACAGAUAUCCCUCCCUCUGCCUGGGCUUUUUUUUUUUUUUUUGGCUGUUGCUUCUUCACAGAGUCCUGGUGCAUGCAGGUCCUCGUGCCAUGUCUGCGUGCAGCCAGGGUAGUGGUGGCUGGGCCGAGCUCUGCUGUGGGCUCCCACAGGCCCUAUAACUGGUAGGGGAAGAGCUUCCAACCCAGUAGUUCUGCCACAUGUGGGUAGGGACAUAUUCUGCUUCAUUCCCACCCUGAGUCAGCAGCAGGACAGAGGUACUGGAGAUCAGACAGACCCUAAAUUUUUUAAUGCAUGUACUUACCUGUGAACACUAGGAGGCUGCUUUAAGGAUAUAUUAAGACAUAAAUCCUGCAGUCAGACGUACUGGUUCUCAGUCAGGCAAGCGCACACACAUGCCGGCCCCGUAUGUAUUACACAUGGUGGGCAAUUGCUAUCUCGAGAACCUAGCUGGGCACGUGUAUAUUCACAGCCGUGGGGAACAAGGUCCGAGACAGCGCAGGAGGUUCCUGGGAACACGAACAGCGGAUGAUCCCUGACAAGGGGCUCUGGAUGAAACCACGCAUCAGGUAACGAGUGCUCCUCCAGCAGCUGCUCAUAGUAAAUCAAAAAGUCGAGAGGAAAAUUUUCUCUGGUGAAUUGGC